GACGAACGCUGGCGGCGUGCUUAACACAUGCAAGUCGAACGGUGAAGCUCCAGCUUGCUGGCGUGGAUCAGUGGCGAACGGGUGAGUAACACGUGAGCAACCUGCCCCAGACUCUGGAAUAAGCGCUGGAAACGGCGUCUAAUACUGGAUACGAGAUCAAGCCGCAUGGUUAUGGUCUGGAAAGUUUUUCGGUUUGGGAUGGGCUCGCGGCCUAUCAGCUUGUUGGUGAGGUAAUGGCUCACCAAGGCGACGACGGGUAGCCGGCCUGAGAGGGCGACCGGCCACAUUGGGACUGAGACACGGCCCAGACUCCUACGGGAGGCAGCAGUGGGGAAUAUUGCACAAUGGGCGAAAGCCUGAUGCAGCGACGCCGCGUGAGGGAUGACGGCCUUCGGGUUGUAAACCUCUUUCAGCAGGGAAGAAGCGAAAGUGACGGUACCUGCAGAAGAAGCACCGGCUAACUACGUG
RNAcentral lists this ribosomal RNA (468 nucleotides) under uncultured bacterium. RNAcentral's name for it is "partial 16S ribosomal RNA". It matches the Rfam family "Bacterial small subunit ribosomal RNA", at positions 28 to 507 of the family's 1533-position model. The record is from RNAcentral.